This 628-nucleotide ribosomal RNA is filed under the name uncultured Actinomycetales bacterium. RNAcentral's name for it is "bacterial SSU rRNA". It matches the Rfam family "Bacterial small subunit ribosomal RNA", at positions 90 to 731 of the family's 1533-position model. The record is from RNAcentral. Lineage: Bacteria; Bacillati; Actinomycetota; Actinomycetes; Actinomycetales.
CUCGAGUGGCGAACGGGUGAGUAACACGUGGGUGAUCUGCCCUGCACUUCGGGAUAAGCUUGGGAAACUGGGUCUAAUACCGGAUAGGAACCAUCUUUAGUGUGGUGGUUGGAAAGUUUUUUCGGUGUAGGAUGAGCUCGCGGCCUAUCAGCUUGUUGGUGGGGUAAUGGCCUACCAAGGCGGCGACGGGUAGCCGGCCUGAGAGGGUGCACGGCCACAUUGGGACUGAGAUACGGCCCAGACUCCUACGGGAGGCAGCAGUGGGGAAUAUUGCACAAUGGGCGCAAGCCUGAUGCAGCGACGCCGCGUGGGGGAUGAAGGCCUUCGGGUUGUAAACUCCUUUCGCUAGGGACGAAGCUUUUUGGUGACGGUACCUAGAUAAGAAGCACCGGCUAACUACGUGCCAGCAGCCGCGGUAAUACGUAGGGUGCGAGCGUUGUCCGGAAUUACUGGGCGUAAAGGGCUCGUAGGUGGUUUGUCGCGUCGUCUGUGAAAUUCUGGGGCUUAACUCCGGGCGUGCAGGCGAUACGGGCAUAACUUGAGUGCUGUAGGGGUAACUGGAAUUCCUGGUGUAGCGGUGAAAUGCGCAGAUAUCAGGAGGAACACCGAUGGCGAAGGCAGGUUACUG